CGAGUUUAGAGCCCGCCCAUCUCGAUAUUGGUGGGAAAGAUCAUUCGGAUAUUGGGUAGAUCCGAGUAGAAAGGGGUUAGUUGGAUGGAGAUGUGAAAUUUGGUUAAGAGACGGACAGAGAGCGAUUGGUGGUUUGGUUUAGGUGCCAAAUUUCUACGGAUGGAUCCUCGAGUUCUAUGGUCGUCGUACCAUACUUGCACGUAAAUACUAGUAAAGGAAAUAUCUCUCUCUCUCUCUCUCUCUGCUUAACAAGGAGGAGGAGGAAAAUGGAUCCAAACAUUAUUUUAACUACUAAUAAGAGGAGGUUAACAUAAACGAAUAGUGCGUGGAGUACUAUUAUUAUUUAAAAUCAAUCAAUCCUCAAUCAAUGUGUGUCCUCCUACCACGUGGACCCGUUGAUGCCACCAGCCGCCACAUGGUUGUCUCUACUCUAGUUUACCAAUAUUACUCUUUUGGCCCCUAUGUAUUAUUAUUGGGGGGUUACCGACACCCAUAGUGGGGGGAGGGGCAGUUUAGUUAUUUAUAUUAAAAAAAUCUCCCGUAUGGAUUCAUGCAUGUGAUAACUUUUUUGUUUUUUUGUUUUUAUUUGUCCCAUCUAUUAUCAUGAUUAUGUGAUAGUAGUAUCAUGUUAAGUAGUAUUUAUCUACUUUAUUGAACUGACGACCGGUGGUGGACCUGUGAUUGACAGAUGGCAAAUCACUGCCGCCAUGACUCACGGGAACAAGUGUGACUCAGCUGCAAAUAUUGGAUGGAAGCUAUCAACCUCACUGACUUUCUUUGGCGGAGGUGGCUGACCGACAGAUAUGAGUUGAGCUUUUGGACAUAAUUAUGUCCAAAAUCGUUCGAUUCACGUAGUCUCGCAUACAUUGGACGGGCCGCGUCCUUGAUGGGAAAAUGAGAAAUUAUGCACUUACUACGAGAAAUAAUGUUCACUCUCUUUUUCGAUUAUGGCACACAUUUUCUUGUCUUUUAGUGAGAAAAAUAUACACAAAAACUUCGCUAAAAGAUAAGAAAUGGAGUGUCAAUAAAAAAAUGGUGUAGAAAUUAUUUUUCCUACUUGUUUUUGUAUUUAUAAAAAUAAAAAUAAAUUGUUUUGUAACAGUUCUGAAAUCAUGACAUGGAGAGGGUAUGUUAAAGUCUCCAGAAAUUAAUUUUGUAAAAGAUCAUGAGAAUAUUAGAAAUGUGUUUUGAGCUCAAAGUCUCAAGCCCUGAAGCAUUGGGCCGGAAAGCCUAACAUAAGGCGCAUAUAAGCCUUGGGCUAGACUUCACAACUUUUUAAAGUAACAGGCCGGCCUUAUCGUGAUACAGUGGGAGCAAUUGAGUUUGGGCUGGGACAGGUCUACCCCGAUAAUGAAUGGGGCCAGUCCAGCGUGCGAAGCAGCCUCUUUAAUUUGAGAUCAAUUUAAAACCUCUAAAAUUGUAUUUUUUUUCAAGUCAAUUGUAUAUACUCUUAUUCACCUCUUAUCUAUGGAUCUAAUUUUUAUGAUGUUUCAUUACUUAUGAAAGUAGUGAUUGAGAGAGUUGUGAGAGAGAAUACAUAUAAUCUAGUAGGAGUUGAUGUUUCUCUUGCAUGUAGAUGAAAGGAUGAUUAUGCCCUUUUCCUCAUUAAAUGAGGUGGCUUAAUGGGACCCGCAUCGACAAGGGUUCUCAAGCAAUUGAGUGCAUUAGGGUUCCAAGACAAAUAUGGGUUGGAGCAUGCGAUGAUGUGCUUAUGGGCCUCCUAAAUAUGAUUCAGUAUCACAACCCUUUCACUAUUAGAAUGCAUCUUGGGGAUGAUUUUAAGGGUGGUCUAAAACAGUUUUAUGUAAGGGGAAGCGAGACAUGCCUUGAUUUCUAUUAGAAUGCAUCUUGGGGAUGAUUUUAAGGGUGGUCUAAAACAGUUUCAUGUAAGGGGAAGUGUGACAUGCUUUGAUUUUUGUUGGAGGAGGGAGUGAAGAUGGAAGAUAGGGUCUCAAGUCUGCGUAUAAAUAAGAAGAAUUGGGGAUUUUUCCCUCCAACUACAAUAUCCUUUGGGUAAGAGAAGAGGAAGGGACACUCACGUGUUAAUUUACCCUCCAAACGCAGGGCCAUGGGGACAAGUAAGCAUCCUACAUCAAACAAUUGAAGGAAACAAAACGGCGUGGGUUUAAUUGAUGAAAUGUUGAAUAGUUUAGAGAUGUAAUUGACAUUUAGUGAAGUUUGAAGGUUUAUGAAACA
This is a long non-coding RNA of Rhododendron vialii, 2196 nucleotides long. RefSeq lists it as uncharacterized. The record is from RefSeq and is a predicted model, not a curated record. The transcript is spliced from 2 exons. NCBI's taxonomy places the organism in Eukaryota, Viridiplantae, Streptophyta, Magnoliopsida, Ericales, Ericaceae.